Molecule: ribosomal RNA, 253 nt
Filed under: uncultured bacterium
Lineage: Bacteria
Description: partial 16S ribosomal RNA
Rfam family: Bacterial small subunit ribosomal RNA
Source: RNAcentral
UACGGAGGGGGCUAGCGUUGUUCGGAAUUACUGGGCGUAAAGCGCACGUAGGCGGACUGUUAAGUCGGGGGUGAAAUCCUGGGGCUCAACCUCAGAAUUGCCUUCGAUACUGGCAGCCUUGAGUACGGGAGAGGGGAGCGGAAUUCCCGGUGUAGAGGUGAAAUUCGUAGAUAUUGGGAAGAACACCAGUGGCGAAGGCGGCUAACUGGCCCGUAACUGACGCUGAGGCGCGAAAGCGUGGGGAGCAAACAGG